AGCAGCCGCCGCGGUAAUACGAAGGGUGCAAGCGUUAAUCGGAAUUACUGGGCGUAAAGCGUGCGUAGGCGGUUUGUUAAGUCUGUUGUGAAAUCCCCGGGCUCAACCUGGGAAUGGCAAUGGAUACUGGCAAGCUAGAGUGUGUCAGAGGAUGGUGGAAUUCCCGGUGUAGCGGUGAAAUGCGUAGAGAUCGGGAGGAACAUCAGUGGCGAAGGCGGCCAUCUGGGACAACACUGACGCUGAGGCACGAAAGCGUGGGGAGCAAACAGGAUUAGAUACCCCAGUAGUCCCUGUCUCUUAUAC
RNAcentral lists this ribosomal RNA (303 nucleotides) under uncultured bacterium. Its description in RNAcentral is "partial 16S ribosomal RNA". It matches the Rfam family "Bacterial small subunit ribosomal RNA", at positions 507 to 807 of the family's 1533-position model. The record is from RNAcentral.